UAUCACUUGCCACGUCGGCACGCUGCGUAGUAAAAUGUAUAUUUUUCGGUUGAUUUGUAAUACACACGUGUUUAGAUAGGUUAGUCGUUAGUUUGUUUACAAAUUAUUACAACAGAGCAGUAGAUUGUUUUAUAACUGCGAAAACUGUACAGUAUUGUUUAGUGUGAGUUCAAUAUAAUAUUAUCUCAUAAUGGCUAAUAGUGAAAAGAGUGAUGGAAAAAAGAAAAAAAAGGGAAGGAUGUACGAGAUGAAAAGCAGAGAACAAAAAAGCAAAAACAAAACAGGAAUAAUCCUGUGACUAAACGCCUGUACUUGGUGACAUCCAUUGUUUUCUUCUUUAAAAAGUGGACAUUACGCGACUAAUUUUUUAUUUUCUUAAAAACAAUUUAACUCUUAUGCUUUGUUUACAUUAGUUUAUAUUAUCAAUACAUUUUUCUAUCAUUA
Long non-coding RNA from Diabrotica virgifera virgifera (western corn rootworm), 444 nucleotides. RefSeq lists it as uncharacterized. The transcript is spliced from 2 exons. The record is from RefSeq and is a predicted model, not a curated record. NCBI's taxonomy places the organism in Eukaryota, Metazoa, Arthropoda, Insecta, Coleoptera, Chrysomelidae.